RNAcentral lists this ribosomal RNA (614 nucleotides) under Penicillium sp. JCM 28511. RNAcentral's name for it is "eukaryotic LSU rRNA". It matches the Rfam family "Eukaryotic large subunit ribosomal RNA", at positions 38 to 667 of the family's 3401-position model. Lineage: Eukaryota; Fungi; Ascomycota; Eurotiomycetes; Eurotiales; Aspergillaceae. The record is from RNAcentral.
GCAUAUCAAUAAGCGGAGGAAAAGAAACCAACAGGGAUUNCCUCAGNNNCGGNGAGUGAAGCGGCAAGAGCUCAAAUUUGAAAGCUGGCUCCUUCGGGGUCCGCAUUGUAAUUUGCAGAGGAUGCUUCGGGAGUGGCCCCCAUCUAAGUGCCCUGGAACGGGCCGUCAUAGAGGGUGAGAAUCCCGUCUGGGAUGGGGUGUCCACGCCCGUGUGAAGCUCCUUCGACGAGUCGAGUUGUUUGGGAAUGCAGCUCUAAAUGGGUGGUAAAUUUCAUCUAAAGCUAAAUACUGGCCGGAGACCGAUAGCGCACAAGUAGAGUGAUCGAAAGAUGAAAAGCACUUUGAAAAGAGAGUUAAACAGCACGUGAAAUUGUUGAAAGGGAAGCGCUUGCGACCAGACUCGCCCACGGGGUUCAGCCGGCAUUCGUGCCGGUGUACUUCCCCGCGGGCGGGCCAGCGUCGGUUUGGGCGGCCGGUCAAAGGCCCUCGGAAUGUAACGCCCCCCGGGGCGUCUUAUAGCCGAGGGUGCCAUGCGGCCAGCCCGGACCGAGGAACGCGCUUCGGCUCGGACGCUGGCAUAAUGGUCGUAAGCGACCCGUCUUGAAACACGGACC